Molecule: ribosomal RNA, 737 nt
Filed under: uncultured delta proteobacterium
Lineage: Bacteria; Deltaproteobacteria
Description: bacterial SSU rRNA
Rfam family: Bacterial small subunit ribosomal RNA
Source: RNAcentral
UCAGAACGAACGCUGGCGGCGUGCUUAACACAUGCAAGUCGAACGCGAACGUCUUUUUCGGAAGACUAGUAGAGUGGCGCACGGGUGAGUAACGCGUAAGUAAUCUACCCUGGUAUCUGGGAUAACCCACCGAAAGGUGUGCUAAUACCGGAUACGCUGAUUUAUCAGGAAAGGUGGCCUCUUCAUGAAAGCUACUGUACCAGGAGGAGCUUGCGUACCAUUAGCUAGUUGGUAGGGUAAUGGCCUACCAAGGCGACGAUGGUUAGCGGGUCUGAGAGGAUGAUCCGCCACACUGGAACUGGAACACGGACCAGACUCUUACGGGAGGCAGCAGUGAGGAAUAUUGCGCAAUGGGGGAAACCCUGACGCAGCGACGCCGCGUGGAUGAUGAAGGCUUUCGGGUCGUAAAAUCCUGUCAGAUGGGAAGAAGUGCUAUAUAUUUAAUAUGUAUAUAGUUUGACGGUACCAUCAAAGGAAGCACCGGCUAACUCCGUGCCAGCAGCCGCGGUAAUACGGAGGGUGCAAGCGUUGUUCGGAAUUACUGGGCGUAAAGCGCGCGUAGGUGGUGUGUUAAGUCAGAUGUGAAAGUCCACGGCUCAACCGUGGAAGUGCAUUUGAAACUGGCAGACUUGAGUACUGGAGGGGGUAGUGGAAUUCCCGGUGUAGAGGUGAAAUUCGUAGAUAUCGGGAGGAAUACCGGUGGCGAAGGCGACUACCUGGCCAGAUACUGACACUGA